RNAcentral lists this ribosomal RNA (912 nucleotides) under Shigella flexneri. Its description in RNAcentral is "partial 23S ribosomal RNA". It matches the Rfam family "Bacterial large subunit ribosomal RNA", at positions 552 to 1468 of the family's 2925-position model. The record is from RNAcentral. Lineage: Bacteria; Pseudomonadati; Pseudomonadota; Gammaproteobacteria; Enterobacterales; Enterobacteriaceae.
GAAACCGUGUACGUACAAGCAGUGGGAGCACGCUUAGGCGUGUGACUGCGUACCUUUUGUAUAAUGGGUCAGCGACUUAUAUUCUGUAGCAAGGUUAACCGAAUAGGGGAGCCGAAGGGAAACCGAGUCUUAACUGGGCGUUAAGUUGCAGGGUAUAGACCCGAAACCCGGUGAUCUAGCCAUGGGCAGGUUGAAGGUUGGGUAACACUAACUGGAGGACCGAACCGACUAAUGUUGAAAAAUUAGCGGAUGACUUGUGGCUGGGGGUGAAAGGCCAAUCAAACCGGGAGAUAGCUGGUUCUCCCCGAAAGCUAUUUAGGUAGCGCCUCGUGAAUUCAUCUCCGGGGGUAGAGCACUGUUUCGGCAAGGGGGUCAUCCCGACUUACCAACCCGAUGCAAACUGCGAAUACCGGAGAAUGUUAUCACGGGAGACACACGGCGGGUGCUAACGUCCGUCGUGAAGAGGGAAACAACCCAGACCGCCAGCUAAGGUCCCAAAGUCAUGGUUAAGUGGGAAACGAUGUGGGAAGGCCCAGACAGCCAGGAUGUUGGCUUAGAAGCAGCCAUCAUUUAAAGAAAGCGUAAUAGCUCACUGGUCGAGUCGGCCUGCGCGGAAGAUGUAACGGGGCUAAACCAUGCACCGAAGCUGCGGCAGCGACGCUUAUGCGUUGUUGGGUAGGGGAGCGUUCUGUAAGCCUGUGAAGGUGUACUGUGAGGUAUGCUGGAGGUAUCAGAAGUGCGAAUGCUGACAUAAGUAACGAUAAAGCGGGUGAAAAGCCCGCUCGCCGGAAGACCAAGGGUUCCUGUCCAACGUUAAUCGGGGCAGGGUGAGUCGACCCCUAAGGCGAGGCCGAAAGGCGUAGUCGAUGGGAAACAGGUUAAUAUUCCUGUACUUGGUGUUACUGCGAAGGG